Molecule: ribosomal RNA, 301 nt
Filed under: uncultured bacterium
Lineage: Bacteria
Description: partial 16S ribosomal RNA
Rfam family: Bacterial small subunit ribosomal RNA
Source: RNAcentral
CAGUAGCCGCGGUAAUACGUAGGGUGCGAGCGUUAAUCGGAAUUACUGGGCGUAAAGCGUGCGCAGGCGGUUGUGUAAGACAGGUGUGAAAUCCCCGGGCUUAACCUGGGAACUGCGCUUGUGACUGCACAGCUAGAGUAUGGCAGAGGGGGGUGGAAUUCCACGUGUAGCAGUGAAAUGCGUAGAGAUGUGGAGGAACACCGAUGGCGAAGGCAGCCCCCUGGGCCAAUACUGACGCUCAUGCACGAAAGCGUGGGGAGCAAACAGGAUUAGAGACCCGAGUAGUCCCUGUCUCUUAUAA